RNAcentral lists this non-coding RNA (173 nucleotides) under uncultured Butyricicoccus sp. RNAcentral describes it as "Lysine riboswitch". It matches the Rfam family "Lysine riboswitch aptamer". Rfam says of the family: Riboswitches are metabolite binding domains within certain messenger RNAs that serve as precision sensors for their corresponding targets. Allosteric rearrangement of mRNA structure is mediated by ligand binding, and this results in modulation of gene expression. This family includes riboswitches that sense lysine in a number of genes involved in lysine metabolism, including lysC. Lineage: Bacteria; Bacillati; Bacillota; Clostridia; Eubacteriales; Butyricicoccaceae. The record is from RNAcentral.
ACGAUUGAGGCGCAGCUGACAUCAGUAUUGCCCGUUAGGAGGCGAAUCCUUUCGAUGACCGGGCAGGAAAGGGGAAGCUGCCGAAGAGAAUGUCGGAUUCGCAGGCGUUUAUCUGGACGGGCAUGAGAAUAUCUGUCCGGCUGUCACCGGUUUGCUCCCGUGAUGCGCUAUCG